UACGGAGGGUGCAAGCGUUAUCCGGAUUCACUGGGUUUAAAGGGUGCGUAGGUGGGUUGGUAAGUCAGUGGUGAAAUCUCCGAGCUUAACUUGGAAACUGCCAUUGAUACUAUCAGUCUUGAAUAUUGUGGAGGUUAGCGGAAUAUGUCAUGUAGCGGUGAAAUGCUCAGAUAUGGCAUAGAACACCAAUUGCGAAGGCAGCUGGCUACGCAUAUAUUGACACUGAGGCACGAAAGCGUGGGGAGCAAACAGG
This 253-nucleotide ribosomal RNA is filed under the name uncultured bacterium. RNAcentral's name for it is "partial 16S ribosomal RNA". It matches the Rfam family "Bacterial small subunit ribosomal RNA", at positions 524 to 776 of the family's 1533-position model. The record is from RNAcentral.